Molecule: long non-coding RNA, 35400 nt
Filed under: Cucumis sativus (cucumber)
Lineage: Eukaryota; Viridiplantae; Streptophyta; Magnoliopsida; Cucurbitales; Cucurbitaceae
Description: long non-coding RNA (CSAT_LNC002824)
Source: RNAcentral
UAUAAACAGUGUUCUAAACCCUAAAACUCACCGAAAAGGACUUGGGUCCUUGCUAAAAGUGUCUAAAUUGUCCUAAAACGGCACAGAAUCAGCAAAUAAGAGCUUCCUAAGUGUGCGAGACGAACUAAAGAAUUUCAAUUGCCCGUAACUGAAAUUUAACGCUGAACAAGAAUUGGUGAAUACCGAACCUUGACGAAAGGGAAAAGAAACUGCUUCUGGUGUGCAAAACGCUCGCUGUCACUUGUGCCUUCGCCGGAGAAGAAGAUGAAGACGCAAAGGUAAGAAGGAUGAAGGAGAGGAGAAGGACGGGGAAGGUGUCGCGGAUGAAUCACACAAGAUAAAGGGAAUUUGGAGAGAGAGCCUCUAUAUCAAGAGAUUGAGGAAGAGGUUGAUAUAGAGGCGGAGAGGCUACUGGCGGAGGGGGCCAAGGCGAAGGUGCCGAGGCGGAGAGGGUUGAAGGAGACGUGCGAUUAUGCGAGGUCAAAGACGAAGAGGGUGUUCAGGGAAGAAGAGGUGCGACUAUGAGUUAUUUAUUUUCUCCUAUUUCCAAACUCAAACCAUCCAACUCAAAAUUUAACCCAAAAAAGAAUAAUUAAUUCGUCGUCAUAUUACCAUUUGAUUUACAUAUAUUGAUGGAUAGAUAUUGAUUUCUAUACUAUGUAUUAUAAAAAUAUAUAUACAUUUAAAAUUGGUACAAUGGAAACAAAUUUUAUUUGAUUGAUUAAUUGUAAUAAGGAUGACAGAGACGAUGUGAAACAUUAUGCAUUGUUAUCGGUUGAAAAAUGAACUAGGACUAGAUGCAAAAAAAAAUUUCUCUAACCGUUAGAACAUCACGUGCAUAAACAAUUAAAUCAUGAAUAAAUAUAGCCGAUGUGAAUAAUUUUUCAAGUUGGAAUUGCUUUUGUUCUGAACAUAACUAUAUUUUAAAUUCGUAUCACCAAAAUGUUGCAAAAUCAUUAUCCAAACACAAAUGAAAAAUUCGACUUCUCGAAUUUGAGUCUGCUAGAAACUUAGAAAGUGAGAAUUUCGACUCUCUUUAUUCUCUCCUUGUGUAUAACGAGUUUUAUGUUUUUUUUUUCCUGGUAUGUAAAUAAAACCCCUAAGGUCUUAUUUAUGAGCUUCACAAGGCUUUUUAAUAAGCUUCCAAUUUUCUAACUCGACUUAUUAAUUAGAUCUCCUAAUAAGAAUUCUCUUAUUGGACUUAUUAAUUACAUUUCCUAAUAGGACUCCAAUUCUUCAAUUGAAUUUAUUAAUUACCCAACCUAAAGAUAAAUUCGAACCAGUUCUUUCGUGAGCGAUCUGUUAGGAUAAUUUAAUGACAAUGGCCCAUAACUCGUUUUGUGGUCAUACGUCAUAAUUGGUCUCUAGCAAGACAUUAUGAUUACCCAAGUUGGUUAUCCAACAUAACCUAAAUCCUUUUAUCACAUGAUAUCUAUAAUUGAAUAUAAGGUCGGGGUAAAGUCACCAUGUCUAAUUCAAUAUUAAAAUUAUUGUUUAUGAGAUAAAUUUAUAUUUGAAUAUGAUUCAAUUAUUAAAUUAAAUAUAAGAUAUUUAAUUUAACUAUUAGUUAUAUGGAGAAUUAAUUAAUAGAUUAGUUUAUGGGGCAUUUUUAAAAAUAACAAAAUAAAUUAAAAUAUAUACAAGCUAUAGAAAAAUUUUAGAUUCUAUCACUAUAAUAUAUCAAUGACUAUAAGUGAUAGAAUUUGCUAUAGGUUGUAAAUAUUUUGUGAAAUCUACAAUUUUUAAAAAUUUCCUUUAGUUUAAUUUGAUUUGAUUUAAUUAAAUUAAUUCAAAACUAUAAAAUAUAUAGUUGGAGAAAUGUGAUUUAAAUGAAAUAUUAAUGAGUUAGUUGAUUUAAAAUUUUUAUUAAUUUAAUAUCUUGUAAAUUAAUAAAAUCUCAUUAUUCUCUCCUACUCCCUCAAGGGGAGUUAAAAGUUAAAAUAUGCAAAAAAAAAAAAACAGUUUUUCUUAAUGAUGAAAAAUCCAAUGCUUUUGCACUCUAAAAAAAUAGUUUUCUCUUUAAAACUUUUUUCAUCUCAAUGGGUUCCAACAAACCAAUCUCAUCCUAGAUGAUAGAAAGGUCUUCAACGGGUGGUGUCUCCAAAUUUGAAGAUUUGGUAGAUUAAGAGAGAGUAGACAUCAAACUAAGUAAGUUUUUCUCUCUCUAAUUUGUACUUAAUUAAAGCAUGCUUAAUAAGAAAAUUAAUUUCUUGAUUAUUUUUUGUCAAUGUAUUGGUAUUUUGGGUUUCUCAAAUUAAAUUGAGGAAUGAUUCUGUAAAAUCUUCCGUUACCAAAGGUUUUUAUCCCUUCAACAUAUCAUGCACAUCCAAAAAUUCUCAAAUGAGAAGUAUUUGGCUCAUGACCAUAUGUUGCUGGCCAACCUGACCUAAUACACACAAGUAGUGAUGCAACAUGCAAAAUAGCUAGCUCUCAUAAGCAAUUAUAUACAAACAUUUUAUAAAUGAUUUUACUAAACCAUUUUGUGUAUGAACAUGAGCUACAUGAUGUUCAACACUUAUAUCCCAAUAAACAUACAAUAAUUAUCAAAUGUUUGAGAUGUAAAUUCAUCAACAUUAUCAAGUUGAAUGUUUUUAAUUUAUAUAAUCGGAAUAACGUGCUCUUGACUUAAUUAUUUGAGCAAGUAAUUUUGCAAAUGCAAGAUUUCGACUUGAUAAAAAGUACACAUAUGAGGUUAGCACACGCUAGGCCUUAAGCCAAUGCAGCACGGCCAACCCCCUACACCAUGUAAAUGAGCACCGUUUGGGCUGAUUUUAAGUUGUUUUUGGCUAUCUUAAUAUUUUUGGACAUUUUAAGGAAAAUUUUGGAUAUUUUUAUAUUCAAGAAAUUAAUUAAGGAUAAAGUAUGAAUUUUUUAGGACAAGGAGAAUUAGGAGAAAUUUCCUAGACCAAGACUAUAUUCAAGUGAUUGUGAGUAACAUAAUAUUUUAUAUAUAUAUAUAUUACGUAAAGAAUUUAUGAUGGGCUGGAAUAUUCUUCUUGGAAACCCUAGCUCUUUUAUCUUAUUCUCUGAGCAAUCAUUUUUCUUUUUUUGAUUUCAUUCUCAACUCAAGCGAGUACACAUGAGUUGGGAAAGUUGUGUUAACCUUGGGGAGCAAUUGACAUAAGCGAUUUAGCACCGAGGUCGCACCAAAUUUUGCUUUGAGGGCAGUGUUUCGACACAGCACAACUAUGAUCAACAUUUAUUUUUCCUACAAUCUGAAAGCAAAAUUUAUUUUUAAAUGUUGAUCAAAUCUGGAACAUCAUCCGUGAAGAAAUUUCCAAAAUUUCACAAUGAAGAUAAUGAAGAUCUUGAAACAUCAGUGUCAGAGGACUUAUGUUAUAUUCUUUGAGUUAGAGGUCGUGGAUUACACUAUUGCUUUGGAUUAUUGUGUCCACAAAGGACUUCCAUUAUCAGCUUAUGGGAAUCGGCAUUUCUCUUGGUUCAAGAGAUAAUUUUGGUUGUCGUUAUCCCACGAAUGGAGAUGAAGAACGAACACUUUCACUGAAAUGAGGUACACAUUUCUCAAAUUUCAUAUUUGCUGGGAUUGAUGAUCGAAGGUAUUGGAAUCGUAUCUCCAUUGAAGAAUUGAGGUAAGUCAGAUUCAUCUAUCAAUAUCGAAGCUGAACUAACUUGUUUAUGUCAUUUGACUGCAUUGCAAUGAGUUUUGUGGAAUUAGGAUGUGUUAAUCAAUCUAUUCUUGUUGUUUAUCAUUCAUGUUUAAAAUGGUGAUAGAAUUUAAUGGAAUAUAUUUUUGGCUCUUGCUUUUCAUUAAUAUCAUUUUGUUAUAUCUGAUUGUUUCUUGUGGAAUUUUAGAACAAUGAUUGGCCUAAUGUUAGGACACGUGGAAAAUAUAUUUAACUCUCUACCUCUAAACAUCUUAAACGGAAUGCUUAUUCAAAGCGUUAAACUUGGUUAUCUCAUUGACAUUUAAUGAUCUUUUGAAAGGUUAACUACUAGAUAAACCUAAUUGUUUGAAGUACUUGAACCAUCUAAAUUUGACCAAUUUACAUGAUUGUGACAAUGUAUUUUGGUUUUGUUGGCUUUACUACAUAAAUAGUUUAAAUGUAGACAAUCAUAAUUUGAUUGGUGGUUUAUUCCACAAAUUUAAUUUCUACACACGGUAUAAGAAUUAAUAGCUAGUUUAGCUCCAUGCUAUAUUUGAGGAUGAUAUUCCGUAUGUAUAUUUGAUGAGCAUAUACUAUAAUAUCUCGUAUAGUGUUUGACAAAUUUAUGUUAUAGUAUUGAGAUGCUAUUGUGACAGAGUUGUGUGUCACUUAUGUCCUGAAUUGUCACAUAAUUUGAAAAUUUUAUUUCAUGUCUAUAUUUGAGCAUGAUAUGCAAUAUGCGUUUGAUAAGUAUAUAUUGAAUAUUUCAUUGGCAAGUAUAUUGGUUCAUAGUUAUUGUAUUGCUAUUAAUACCAUAGUUGAAAUGCGAUUAUGUUGAAUUUGAGUUAAUCAACAAAAUGAUACCAUGAAACUUUUGAUAUAUUGUGCAUCCAAAUAUUUGAAAAUGUGGGGGUGUCAAACUAAGGUAUCAUAUCUAGUGUUCAAGAAAUAUUUAGUAUGAUUAAAAACAUUUGACUAUGUUUAUUGAUUAUGCUCACAGUAGUAUCACAUAUAGAUUUAUAAGUUUAAAUGAUAAAUCAAUUUGUGAAUAUUGAGACACUAUUUUGAUCUACUUGAACAUGUUUAUUAGCAUGAUAGUAUGAGUAGAAAUAUUUAUCAUGUAUGUUAUAUUUAACAAAGUUAAUAUAUGACUUACAUCAUGAAUUGUUAAGAUUAGUAGUAUAACAUCAUUUGCAUAUUACUCAAGUUGGCUAGUAGUAUGAAAAUAUGCAAAUUUCAUUGCUUAUGAAGCUCAUAAGAUUUUAUGGAAGUUUAAGGUAUUGUUUAAGCUAUCAAAUAUGUGAUAUCUUAUAAGGCAUGAGGACUUAUACCCUAAGUUAUCCCUAAAAAGUGGUAUAAAGAGUCGUGUCCCUGGUUUAGUCUUGUUGAUCUAACCCUAGGUUCGAACAAAGGUGUAGUGGAACCAUAAAAAAAAAAAUAGUUACAAUAUUAUUCAUGGUUGAGCUCUAUUAAAUAAUCAAUGUGUUCUAAAGAGGAGGAGUUAACCUACCUAGAUAAGAGUUAAAUGAAUAAGUGUCUAUUUUAGGGGAGGUUCAGUUGGAACUUUGUUCGAGGGGAGGAUUGUUGGGAAUGUGAUCAAAGUCCCACAUUAGAUAAGGAAACUAAUCAUAAAUACACAGGUGCAACUUUAUACUUAUGAAAAAUAUUUUGAAUCAAACGUGGAAUCUAGAAUGUUUUGAUUUUUGUUCUCAUAUGCCUAAAUUAGCCAUUAUAGAGCACCUUAAAAACUUUUGUAGCUGUAUGUGAUCUUCCAAUACAUCAAGUGUAUGUAAAGAUGAUAUUCCUCAAUGGUAAUUUGGAAGAUUCAAAUUUCGUUAUGAUCCUUAACUAGUUUAAAGGUUUAAUGAGAAAAACUUUAACAACAGUUAUUUAGUAAACAAUGUCUUGAGAAGUGAAUUAUUGAUAUAUGUGUUUACUAAAAGUUGUUUGGAGUUGAUUGCGUGAUUAUAUGUUUGUAUGUUGGUGUAAUUUAUGUGAUACAAACAUAAACAUUAGUAAUGCUAUAAAGUUAUCACAUUUUGAACUGAAAGAUUUAUGUGAGACUAAAUGUUAUGCACUUAGUAUUAUUUGAGAAUGUUUUGGUUUAUGUCAAUCACACACUGAAUGCUAUUAAAAAGAUUUGACAUUUUAAUGAUGCUCUUGUAAGAACAUCUUAUGAUGCUAGUAUGAGCCUUAAGGAAAAUAAAUGAGAUGGUUUCUCUCAAUCUGAAUAUGCGAGGAUUAUAGAAAGUACUAUGUUUUGAUAAACUGUACAAGGAUGUGUUAUUGCAUAUAUUGUAAGAAGAUUGAGUACAUGUAUACACAUAAUUCUUAUUAGGAUUAUUGUAUUGCUCUUCAUCAUUUAUUGAGAUAUCUUAAGGUUACAAUUGAUUUUGAUUUGCAUUUUAAAUUAUUGUCUACCAUACCUAGAGAGGCAAUAUUGCUAGUGAAUAUGUGUUCUUAAUGAAAAAUGUAUCAUUGUAUGGGGACAUGAGUAUGAAUGAUAUAAAGCCCAAUGGUAGAAGUACCAUUGUGGGGGGCUCUAUACCAGUAUAAUUUUAUUGAGAUUCAUACACUGUUAUAUAGAUUGGUAAGAAUAGUAUGUUACGGCAAUAGAAAGCAUAUUCGCCUGAAUGUGGAGUUGUGAAAUGAUAGUUGAAUGAAAGAAUUAUCUUCUCAAAGUAGGUAAGGUCUGAAGAACUUUGUAAAUCAUUUUUUCGAAAGUCUACCAAGGAGAGUAAUUCUAGGAUUUUCAACAAGUAUGAGAUUCAAACACUUGAUGGUCCAUAGCCCUUUAUUUGGGUGGUUUACUGCGAUAGACUUGAUGGUCCAUAGCCCUUUUAUUUGGGUGAUCUAUCGUUUAUUUGGGUGGUCUACUGCGAUAGACUUGAUGGUCUGUAGCCCUUUUUUGGGUGGUCCACUGCGGUAAGCUUGAUGGUCUAUGGUCACGUGUGGGCAAUCCUUAAAUGGAUUUGAUGGAUGAAAUUAAAACAUUUGAAAAUUUCAUAACCCUUAUUUGGGUGGUCCUGGUAUGGACUUGAUGGAUAAUUGAAAAAUCUUCAUAGCUCAGUUUUGAGUGGUCUAUUGUGAUAGACUUGAUGGAGCAAUAAAUAUGAUUGUGAUGGUGUGGCCGCCUUCUAUGAAAAAGUUUAAGGAUCUUUUUCUAGAGCUUUCACGUUGACCCGAGGUUCUAUGUGCAUGACCUUAAAUAACACAAUUUUGAGUGGUCUAUGGUGAUAGACAUUAUUGCGGAAUCAAUGAAAAUUUAAGAAGUAAAACGUAUUGUGGGGGUCUCAACCGUUGUUAUCGAAAGUUCAAAAGGCAAUUAACUUACUUUUGAUGAUUUGGAUUGUUGUCCCACCUCACUACGCAUCAAUUCAAAUCGAAAGAUAUUGAUGUUUAAGUUUAUACUACUUCUUUCUUUGCUCAAAUAAUUUUUUCCCUCCCCGUUUUAACUAGAAUGCAAUGAUAGUCAUUCGUGGGGGAUUGUUGGGAAUGACCAUCAUUGUACUGUUUUCUAAUUCAUAUUUUAAUUGGAAAUUGAUAAUUGUUAUUAUUUAUUUUAUUUUAUAAUUAUUAUUAUCAUUUAUAUAUAUAUUAUGUAAAGAAUUUCUGAUGGGCUCAAUUAUUCUUCUUGGAAACUCUAGCUCUUUUCUCUUAUUCUGUGAGCAAUCAUUUUUCUUUUUUUGAUUUCAUUCUUAACUAAAGCGAGUGCACGCAUGAGUUGGGAAAGUUGUGUUAACAUUGAGAAGUAAUCGGUAUAAGCGAAUUAGCACCGAGGUCGCGUCGAAUUUUGCUUUCAGGGCAGUGUUUCGACACGACACAACUAUGAUCAACAUUUAUUUUUUCUUGAGAAAAUUCUAUUUCAAUUUGGUUUCAAGAAUAGGUAAUUUUACUUUAAGAUUUGAUUUAAGAUUUGAUUUUGUGUUUCAAUUUCACACAUUUAGCUUUUGUUUCAUUUAAAACUCGCUUUCAAACUUUUGUCGAUUAAUGAAUUUAAAUUGAAACAAAAUUGUUACAUGUAUCCAUCUGCGAUUUAACUUCAAUCUUUUAUUUGUACACAAUACUAGUAAAAUUUAAUUUUUUGUUCUAUUUAGUCAAUACAUUUUAAGUUUCACUCAUUUUUUCAAAAUAAAUAUACUCAACUAAGUUAUAUUUUUCACAAUUAUUAAAAAUAAAUAUAAAUUUCAUAUAGAAUUAUUUUUCACGUUGAAUUAUUUUUCACAAUUACGAAACGUAUAGAUAUUCAAAUCUAAAAAUCAAACUUAAAAUCUAAAAAUCAAAUUGAAACAAAAUUGAAAAAUGUAACACCUUGUAGUCUUUAAACCAAAUUGAAACGUAAUUUACUCAAAAUUACUUUUUUUUAUUAUUAUUAAAAUUAUUGCUUAAAAACCUAGGGAUAAAUUAGACCCAAAAUUUUUAAAACAAAAAAUACAAUUUAUAAAAAAAUAAUAUUUGAAAAUUUCAAUACUAAAAUAAGAUAUAAUUUAAAAGAAAAAGAAAAAAAGGAGAAGAAAGAGCCAAAUUAAUUUUUUUUUUUAAAAAAAAGAAAGAAAGAAGUUAAACGAUUUAAAUAAAUUAAAAAAACAGUGGAAUGCAUUGUUGAAGAGAUACACAUCGUAACAAACAAACAAAAACACUAUCUUCUCAAAUUUAAUUUUAAACAACUAUUUUCUCAAAUUUAGAAAAAAAAAAGCUCAUAACACCUCUUUUUUGCAUAUUGCAAAUUUAACAAAUUUGAUGAUAAUGAGACCAUAAUCAUAUGAUAAUUUGUUUUCAAAUUUGUUAUUUUUGUAAUUUAAAAAAUAUAAGUAACAAGAGUUUUAUUAUCAUAAUUUAUUAUUUAUUAUUUUUAUUUUUUGCUAUUUUUGCAAACUCCCCCUUAAAAAAGUAUAAAACUUAUUUAAUUUAUACAACCUACCAAACCAUGGAAGAAGACUUAUAAUCAUAUAACUUACACAACCAACACGUAUUAAAUUCCUAGAAUUUAAAUAAUUUAACUUUCAAGUUAUAAGAAGAAUGACAGAAGGAAGAUAUCAUUUACAAAACAAUAUCUAAAAUUAAAUACCAAUAAUUAAUCAAACGUAAAUUAAAAAUAUUCAAUUAUUAUUUUCAUUUCUUUUUGUUCAAAAACCCAAUAAAAGAAAUAGCCAAAUUUCUUACACUCCUUCACUAAAUAAGAUUUUAGGGGGGAAAUUAGGAUACUAAACCAAGAACAAAACCUAUUAUUUUACCUAAAACUGCAACAAAAAUUAUUUUAUACCUGGGACCAUCAUGAAUGCAACCUACAUCCUUUGGUUUGUCAUAUACUUCUACAAUCGUUUUAAAACUAGAUCACUAAACAAAUAUAGUCAAUGAAAAGCUUUUUAUCAUUAGUGUACUUCAACCAAAAAAAAAUUAAUGGCUAAAGAAAAUAAUUACUCUGUUUAUUGGAUAUGUAAAAGAAAAGAAAAUCUUAACAAAAACCUUCAUAAAUGGAGUCACGGUAUCACCAAUAAUCAAACCAUAUCUAGAAUAGAUAGCUUGGAGAAGAAUGUGCAAAUACAGAGAAUGAGAAUAUGUUAUGAUUUCUCAGCUUUUUACUUAAACUUCACUUAAAAAUCUACAUACUCUAUGUUCUCCCUAGAACAAACAUUAAAAAAACAACUAUACAACUUCAAGAAACAGCUAGUUACAUUUCGGUAUCGCUAUGGUUUUAUUUAAGUUGAAAUUUUUGUUCUUAAUCCCCCAAUAUUUUUAUUCUUUAACAUUUGAAACCUUGAAAUCUUUGUUCUUUUGUGUUACAGUCCCUGUUGAUAAAUGAUAAUCCCAUAAAAAGUGUUCAAAACCAAAGUUGGAAGAGAAACAUGGAACCUCACCAAAAACAAAACAUCACUAGGGUCUCCCGCAACACCUCUAAACACGCUAUUGUUCUUCUCUAAACACUAUGUUGUUCUCCCCUAAAUGGAUACCAUAUAGAAUUCAGUGCAAAAUGUAACAUAUAUACUGUUAAUUACAUAAGUUUUUAAUGUGAAAUCCAGAAUUCAAGCAAUUGAACAUAAUCAAAAUUGAAAAUCAUAACUCAAAAAGGCAAUAAGUAAUAUAUCAUUGGUCACAGUCAAAGAAUGAAGAGAUUAAAGGGAGGAAAAGAAAACAAAUGGUUACCCGAAGCUUGAAAUUUGGUUUCAGUUUGAUUAGUUACCCAUUCCCCUGUCUCGCGAAGCCUUUUCAAGAGUGGCCCUUCAUAGUUUCCAGUAAAACUCAUAAAAACAUGUCAAAUGCAGCCUUCUUAUCUUCUUCCCGAUCCCUAAGAAUCAAAAUUUGGCAAUCACACGAUAAAUCAUAUACCCUUCCCCAAGUUAACAUCUUCUAACUUAAAGGACAAGAAAAUCAACAUCUCCAAAUUUAAGAAAACCAACAAGAACGUUGAAUCAAAAUAAAAGGUAUUAAAAGAUAAAUAGAACUCUGAGACUUUCCUAGGGUCGGCGUCUCAAUAUUAGACUAGACUUAUAAUUUAACAAAAUAAUCUACAUCAAUUCACAAAGCAUGAAAUCAAGAAAACAAGAAAUUACAACUUGCAAGAACUAAAAAGUUCAAAAAAAUUUAAGAGUUAAUUACAGAUUUGGUUAACUACAAUCAAAAUAGAGCUUGGAGAAUAGAAUCAUACCCUCGAUAUUGUUGUAUUCAAGAAGGGAGACGUAGGCGCCCAUAUCGGCGAUGUUCUUGACUUGAAUCAUGACAACCAUAUCGACCUCUGGGUACUUUGCCUCGUAAAUCCGACACUCGAGGUUAGAGGAAUGGGAAGCCAUUGUUGAAAGGGUUGGAGAGAGUUCAAAAAUCAAGAAAUGACAUUUACAAAAGAAAAUAUAAAUAGACAAAGACGGUGAGGGAAACGAGAGAGAGGGAAGAGUGAAGAGUGAAGAGUUACCUUUGGUGUUUGGACUCACUACCACUAGAAAUCGAUGAACUGCAAUGAGAGAACUGCCAUGAGGGAGAUCAACGAUGAGCGAACGGUGAGGUGAGGGAGAUGAGAAAAUCGACACAAGGGAAAAAGGGAGAAUAGACGAAUGAAGCAAAUGAAGCAAUGAAGAAGUUAAGGAGAUGCAAUGGUUGGAAGUUGAAAAGUUAUUUGGACAAGCCCAAAAGUCAUAAAAUUAAAUGUUUAAGGACUUAUGUAUUUAUUUAAUAUUUUAAUUAGUAUAAAUAUGGUUGUAAUUUAUCCCUUUAAGAUAAGAAUUUGAAUGAAUGAAUUUGGAAAUUCUAAAAGUGUAGAAUUUUGUUUAUGUGUGUUCUUGUGAUAGAAUGCACGAAUAUUUGAAGCAUUCAAGUGAGAAUUGAUCUAUCUUACUUGUGUGGAGUGCUUUAAAGAUCGAGGAUUGAUGAGAGUUUUUAACUUUAUCUAAUCCUCGAUUUGUUAGAUCAUCGAACCAAUUUAGGGGUUGAAAUCAAAUUGGUUUUGGGAUGUUGGGGUUGUGUUCUUUUUUUUAGAUCCAAUGUGCAGGGUUUCAUAUCACUAUUGUCAGCAAAGAACUUUCAACAAGAAUAGAAAGGUAACGCCCUGAGAUUUUUCUAUUAUAAAUAGACUUCAAACAGAACGCCAAAGGCUUACCUUGCCCAUGGUCCUUUGGAUUUCAUGCUGCUACCAUGUCCUUACACACCAAUGAAGUUAGAAUUGGGACUGAUAUAUGUGUCACGGCAUGUUUGGUAUGUCUCUAGGGAACGAUCGGAUAUGCCAAGCUUUCCUGUCACGUGGCUGGAGGCCAACAAUGGAUGCAAAAGAGUAGUAGUUAAACUCAAGAUGUGCUCGGUUUGACCACAUUCACAUCAUUGUUAGAUUCCGCAAUUUUCGAGUUAACAAGUACUCCCUUCAAGCUCUGAACCUGAGUCCGAGAUUCCUUACUAUAAGCUUAGCUAUUGAACACAAUGUCAAUAGAUGCAAUGCAUUAGGUUUGAAGUCUCCCAUCAAAUUCACGCAAGAGCAACUUAGAAUUAUUGACAACCCGUCUGCUCUCACAAACUAUAUAACUACACAGUUCAUGCCUGGGUGAUGGCCUAAGAGACUUCAGCUCAAUGAGGGGAUUUGUAACGACAUAUUUACUACACAUCUCCCUUGCAGGUUGAACAUGCUUCCACCAAAAAUCCGACAAAGCAAUCUUCAAGACGUCCCAAUAUUCGACAUCUCGAUACAAUCUAAACAAACUACUACCAUUAGGAGUCCAAACAUAAAAGUCCAUCCAAUCUCUAUCCAUUAUUUCCAUCAAACCUUGAGCCUGAGGAAUACAGUAAAGAGGAACUCGUGACCAUGGUGAAGCAUUUCUCAUAUCACCAUUAAAAAAUGGGCACUUAAUCUCCAAAACACCUUGUGAAGGCAAUCCAUAAAUCAUUUUAUCAAUUGCACCAUCAGGUGAAGCAGCCAACCAAUCAUCUUCCGAGUUUGCUUUACCAUAGACUUGAAAUUCGGGAAACAAAACAGAGUUUCCAGUAAUAAGCUUGUAUCUUUCGAGUGCUUCUUCUUCUUUCAUAUUACUCCAACAAGUAGCAAGAUUACCACAAAAUUGAUCAAUCGCCCCAAGUUUCUCCAACCAUAGUUGAACCCUUCGACGAGGCCAAAACCCAAUUGCCCCAGCAAAAGUACUUGCUGUUAACUUAUGCUUUCGAAGCUCUUGCCAAUUUUUGAACCAAUGCUGAAAACUAGUGGACUGAAGAACAGAAUAGUGAUUAACCGUUUCAAAUUGUAAAGAAGAAGAAGAAACGGAAUUGAAAUUCCGUAUAGAACAGUUCCCAAUAGCUUGACUACAGGCAAAUAAUAUCUUUUUGCAAUUGAACAUCGAUUGUUUCUGAAAUUAAAGGAACCGAAAGACACAAAGAUCAAGAGCCAUCCAGAGUUAGUGGACAGAAUCAGCUCAGAGAAGAAAGUCCCAGUAAAUAGAGAAGAACCUCGGCUUCACCCAUUAACUAGAACGCUUGGAAGUACAAGUUAAAGCUCUAAACAGAAUACCUGGGGCUCUCAUAUGAAAAGCCAUUUCCAUUUCAUUUCGAAAAGAUUGAUACAAGACUAUAUUCCUAGUAGCACAAAUUCUUAUCAAAUGGGUUUAUUUCACUCGAAUUCCUCUCAGCUCAAAUGAAUUAAUAAGUUGAAACAAAUGUCUAUUCCAAACAUCUGGGUUUCUUUGUCUACAUAGUAAUUGAAUAAAUUUUAGGAUCACCUUGCUGGAGGACUUAGAGACGUGACAUGGUGGAGUGGAGGUGGCGAAGUUGGUAGUGAGGAUGACGAGAUGAAGUGGAAAGCGAUUUUAGGGUUUUUCAGUUUUAAUUUGGUUACUAUUAUAAACGUACAUAUCAUAAGUUAUAUAAGCAACGUUCAAUUCCAUGUUGUAACUUCCAAACCUAUUAAAUUUUGUAUUGCACAAGGUAGACUAUGUUAUUAGUUUAUUUUUUAUUUUACAUUUGUGAACAUUACGUGAACUAUUCCACUUAUACCUUAUACAUAGUUUAAAUGUUUAAGAACCUAACCUAAUUUCUUAUGCCUAUUGACAUGUUGUAAUUUUGCAUAUUGUGUUUACAAAAUUAUUGUUUGGUUUAUCUAAUUUGUUUAUGAUUUAUGAAAUUGUUUAUGUUUAUGAUUUAUAAUAAGUUUAGGGUUUGCAUGGUUGUUUAUGUUUUGUUCUUAUUUUAUUUUUUUAAUGUAUAGUUUAUAAGUUCUUUAUAAUUUGUGUCUAAUAAAUUUUAUAAUUUUCUUUAUGAUCUAAAUGUUUUUUUUUUUUUUAUCAAUUUACCUUAGCAUGUUGAUCAUUUUUUAACAUGUUAUGUAUAAGUAUGUUGUAGAAUUAAUGUAUUUUUAAUGCUCAUUGUUUGAUAAUUUAAUUGGUGUAUAUUGUUGUUAAUUUGCCAUAAUAUGUUUAUAUGUAAUUUUAAUUAUUGUGCGGUAACAUGUAUGUUUUGAAAUAUGAUAUCUGUCCCACUGAUUUUUGUAUCAUGUGAAUAAUAUGAUAUGAUAUUCAUCUACAUUGUUUUAGAAUGACAAUGUUUAUUGAAUUUCUAAUAUAAGUAGAUUUCUUUGUUAUAGUUUUUACCAAGACAAGUCUUAUCAAAUUAGAAUUUCUAGUUCUUGAUAUCAAUGAUGAUAAUUAUUUAUCAUGAGUACUUAAUGUUGAAAUUCAUUUGGAUGUCAUGAUUCUUAAAGAAAAGAUUAAAAAAGGAAACAUGACUUCAAGUCAAGAAAAUGUGAAACCCAUGAUUUUCCUUCAACGUCAUCUUCAUGCGAAGCUAAAGAUUGAAUAUCUUAUGGUAAAAGAUCCCUAUAAACUAUGACAAAGUUUAAAAGAAAUGUAUGAUCAUAAAAUAAAAAAUUUGAUUCUUCCUAAAGCUCGAUAUAAUUUGAUGCACUUAAAGUUGUAAGAUUUUAAGUGAGUAAGUGAUUAUAAUUCUGAAUUAUUUAAAAGUUAUUCAAAAUUAUUGUUACGUGGAGAAAAAAUUACUAAUGAAUAUAUGUUAGAGAAACAUUUUCUACAUUUCAUGUCUCGAAUAUGCUUCUAUAGCCGCAAUAUCGAGAAAUAGGUUUUAAAAAGUAUUAUGAAUAUAUAUCAUGUCUUCUUGUGGCUGAACAAAACAAUGAGUUAUUAAUGAAAAACCAUGAAUCUCGACCAACUAAAGCAACACCAUUCUCUGAAGCGAAUGUUGUGUAUUUUCAAACAAUUAUGGUCGUGGUCAUCGUAGAGGAAGGAGUAAUUACACUUUUUGUGGUAAUAAUUAUUCAGAUUUUAGGAAAACAAAUGAUGAUCAUAAAGGGAAGACUCCACAAAAUAAGAACUUUAAAAGUGGUGAAAAUAUUUACUUUUGUUAUGGUAUGAAUGACCAUUGAACUUGUACUUAUUGUACAUCCAAGCACUUAGUCAAUCUCCAUCAAGUCCCAUUGAAGAAAAAAAUGAAAAAAUAUUAAAGUAAACUUUGCCUAUCAAAAUGAUGUAUUAUUUGACCCUUCCAACAUGACACAGUUGAAUGUUGAAAAAUUGAUGUUAACAAAGGAGUAGCAAAUACUUCCUUUAAUUAUGAUAAUGUCCAAAACUAAUAUUUGCACUAUGUUUAUUUUGGUAACUCAAAGAUGGAUAAUGAAGACUUAUGUUUGACAGAUAAUGAUACUACGCACACAAGACUUAAAGUAAAAAAUAUUUUUCUAUAUUGACAAUGCUUGAAGCAAAUGUCAAUACAGUAUCGAGUUCUACAAACAUGAUUGAAGGUUUUAGUAAAGUAAACCUUAUUUUGCCUAGAGGAAUAAAAUUCACAAUUAGUAACGUUUCGUUCUCUAGUAAGUAAAAAAGAAACUUAUCGAGUUUCAAAUAUAUAUAUACAUCAAAAUGGUUAUCAAGUUGAAACUAACAAUAAAUAGAAUAUAGAAUAUCUUUAUGUUACAUUUAUUGUUUCACAUGAAAAGUACAUAUUGGAAACAAUGUCUACCUUUUCUUUUGGAUUAUAUUAUACUCAUAUACGAGUAAUUAAAACAUAUGGAACCAUGAACUCGAAGUUCAUAAAUUUAAAUAUGUACAUUUACCGUUUGGUAUGAUCGAUCAAGUCAUCUUGGGUCAAUAAUGAUAAAAGAAAUUAUUGAAAAUUCUCAUGGACAUUUACUAAAGAACUAGAAGAUUCUUCAAUCCAAUGAAUUUGUUGGGUUUUAUGUCCUAAAACUCAAAUAAUAAAUAUAAUUUAUUGACCGUUAUUAAUAUAGUGUUAUUAUUAUAGUUAAGUGUUAUUGAUUAUAUUAUUAGUUUUGUUUUAAUAACCUAAAUCCAAUAAACUAAUAUCCUAAACUAUUUGAUGAGUCUUAAAUAGUAUGUAGAGACAUACAUGGACAGGAAUAAGGUUGGGUACCUAAUCUCCAACCUUAUCCUGGUAACACUAUGGAUACGACUCACUUUGUAUUUUAUACAAACACAAUGAUCCAACGUGUUCGUAUAGAUGACAUGCGAGUGAGAGUAUUCUAUGUAAUGAGCUUGUAUAAGAUCGAACCACAAAAUAGUAACCACUAGAUGUAAUUCUGUUAACUAGUUAGGUUUCUAUUUCAUUAGAAUGACCUAGGUAACUUAAUCUUAAUAUUGAGUGUAUUAUGAACUCCUGUACAUGAGGAAUUGUUCUUUGAUCUAUAUGAGUGAGAGUGGCCAGAUUGCUAACUCAAUAUGUUUAUCAUUUUGGAGACAAGACCGAGUAGAGAGCUGGAAACUUAAUCACACAAGAUGAAAUUCACUCCUUCCUGACUUUAGAGUAAGUAGAUGAGUAUUCCAUUAAAUUGUGUCUCUGAGACUUGACCAAAGAGUCCUACCCUCUCUAUGGGAUGAAAUGAGUUUCUAUUUUUUAGUUAGACCAUAAACAAGUUGUUCAUUAGAGAAGCAGUUGUAUUUAAGUACUAGAAGUAAUCUAUGGGUAAAACGAUAAUUUGAUCUAAUUGGUGUUACGAACACUUGUGAAGGGCUAACAACUUACUGUUAUUGGUCUAUAUCCGUGGACACUAAAAUAUAUCUACAGUGAGAAGAGUUUAUUUGUGAGUUUUUAGUGGAGUGUACACAUAGUUAACGAAUAUUGAUUAAUGUGGUUAAUGAGUUUAACCAAUUAAUCUCAUAUCGUUGUAGAUUCUGAAAUGUAAAUCCAUUAGGUCCCCUUCCUAGCUUGUAAAGGGUAAUAAAAUUUAUUUAUAUUGUUUGUAAUUUAAAAUGUUCAGGUUUACUUUGAAUUAAUACAUUCUAUGGUGAUACAUUAUAAUAUAAAAUUUAUAUUCUAACUAAACUUUAUUAUAUAAAUUUAAUCUUGGAUGUGAUUCAUAAUAAAUUUAUGAGAGAAUAAAAUCUUUGAAUGAGUUCAAAUAUUAAUUUAAUAUGAACUAUAUUCAUAUUAAAAAUAUAGGUUAAAAUUUAAUAUGUAUAUGAUACACGUUAAAACUAUAGGCUAUGAGAGAAAUUUAUACUUGAAUAAGAUUCAAAUUUGGAUUAAAUUAAAGAAGAUUUUUUAAAAAUAGUAAAAUAAAUUGAAAUACUUACUAGACAUAACAAAUUUUUUAAUUUUAUCACCAAUAGUUUUCUAUCCGUGUAAUAUCAAUGACUAUUAGCAAUAAAAUUUGUUAUAGAUUAUAAAUAUUUUGUAAAAUAGUGAGAAAUAUUUAGGUGAUCGUUUUGGUUGGAGCUGAGGUGAUGUGAGAAAUAUUUAUUUAAAAAUAAAUUAAAUAAAAUAUUAUUUUAAUUAUUUUAAUAUGAUUAUUAAUUUAAUUUAUUAAAUUUAUAGGAAACGUGGGUGGUUUUUCUAAUAUUUUUGUGAAAAAGAUUGUUUGUUAGUCAUUUGUGAAAUAUUGUAACAACAGACAACAAACAUUGCCCACCAUUAAAUUAAUAAUAAAACAAAUAAGUAUAUAUGUUUUAAAUUUUCUUUCCAUGUCUAUAUAUAACAACCCUACAGACGAGAAUUUAACACUAAAAUAAACAAAAACAGAUCUUUUAACAUAAUUAUUUUGUUAAAUAACCAUUUAUCAAAUAGAAAAUAUAAUUACUAUCUGAUUAACUCUAAAUUAACAUUCGAAACCAACCAUAAUUUUGAUUCUUUCUAAAUAUAUAAUAUAUAAGUUUGAUACUAAACAUAAAUAAUAAAAUCAAUUCUACAACAUGAUUUAAUUUUACAAUAUGAAUUGUACCUUAAUCAUUUGUUUCACAUCUGUUUUCUAUAUUGAUAGAACUUGAGCUACAAUACUCACCAUUCUAUUUAUGUGUGUUUGACUCUACUUUAUUUCGAAGUGCAAUGAUUUUUAAGAUAUCAUAUUCAUUGGCACAGAAAAUUUGUUGAAACAAACUAAAAGCAGAUGCAGGGAGGGAUAAUAUUUAAACAAUUAAAUAUCUUAAUGUGAAACAAAACGGAGCAAAAAUGUCGAAUUAUGGGAUGUUAAUGAAAAGACUUAUUGCCAAAAUCAGAAUCCACAUUCCAAGUUUCUGUGCAUUUUGAAAUGGGGGUUUAUACAAGGUUAAGAAACUAACCGAGGUGCGACGUAUCUUCUUCUUGUCGUGCUAAAAUGGCGCACACAUUCGUUUGGUCAAUCAUCCAGAGGCUGUCUUCUUCUGCUGAAAGACGACUGCAUAGAUCGGAACAGCCACGCCAAUACUGAAUGCAGUUAAUACUCCAAGCGUCAUGGUCAACUUUUGAUUUUUCAUCCUAUCCAAAUUGUACAUAUGCUUUGCGUGCAAAUAAUAAGGUUCAUCGUGUCCGUGAGCAUGUCCUCCCAUUCUCUUCACACCAGUUGAGUGAAACCCUCGUUUAGCUGUGGUACGAGGCCAAGCAGAACCAUCAUUUUUUUAGAAUUUAGAAACCUUGAUUUAGUGCAUUAGGAGACAAACGGAUAGAAUAAUCUAUGGAACACAGAUAUAAACACAAAACAAGAACAAGAGAUGGCACACCUUUUUUUCUACAUGUCUACAUGAAUAUUACAAAAACAUCGUUUGUUAAAAAAAAUCAUUUUCUUCAAGUAUAUAAUUUUUACUAAAAAGUCCAGAGGCUUGUGCAUUUAUAUUCUAAAGAAUAAACGUGAUGCAUAUUGUUCUCGAUAUUUAUUAAUUAUUUGAUGUAACUACACAAAAAAUAUUUUUUUUAUAAGAAACAAGUAUAUUCAUAUAACAAAACAGAACAACCUAAGGGCAAGGGACAAGAGGGUCCUCCCCGGAAAAAGCUAAGGAACUAAGAAAUGAUAGCCUUGUUGAAAAUCAUUGAAAGGCUAUACUUACAAAAGUGUUUGGUGUAAUUCGUACUCCACCAAGAAGCUAUGUGUUGCAACACAGUCCAAAAAGAAUCAAAAGAAUUAUAUCUAUCUUAAAAAAUUCUACUAUUCCUUUCUUUCCAAAUGCACCACAAAAGGGAUCGAGUCGCACAUUUCCAUAAGAUGUUUCCUUUUGGGCUAUAACCUCUAAUGUUGAGUCCUUCAAUCAUCCAGCUAUCAAACUUACUAGGAAGACAAAGCUCAAAGUAAAAAAUCCUAAACAAAGUGUUCCAAAUUUUUUUAGUAAAGAGACUGUAGAAAUAGAUGAUCCAAAGUUUCCUCUUCUUUGGAGCAAAGACAACACAUCGAGGGGCUAAGCAAUGUGUUCUUAACUUUUUUUUGUAGCUUCUCAUGAGUUUUAAGGCUUCUGUAAGCAAGCGACCAUAAGAAAAACUUCACCUUCUUCGGAAUUUUAUUCUUCCAAAUAUGACGAAUCAAAGGAACAGCAAUGGAGGGGAUCUCUUGGUUAAGUUACGAAAGGUAGACUUCGUAGUAAAGUUGCCAUUAACGUUAGGAGUCCAUUUAAGACUAUCAUUCCCUUCAGUGGGGGCCCAAUAAUGAAGAAUUUCUAAAACUGAGGCCGCAUUGGCAAUCUCGUUAUCGAGCAUAUUUCUUCUAAGGCCCAAAUUCCAGAAAUGAGUAGCAGUACACCAACAUUCAGCCACAUAAACAUCCUUAUUCAACAACAAAGAGAAUAAGUUAGGGAAUUUUUCUGCAAGUGUUUCCGCGGCACACCAUUUGUCCUACCAAAAUCUGAUUUUUGUUCCUUCUCCCAAAACAAAAGCAGAAAAAUUAAAAAAGAUCUCCUUGUGCUUUAAAAUACCAACCCAUAAUCUGUAAGAUUUUCCCCUGUUUGGAUCUUUGGUAGACCACCCAUUCUCCUCUAGGCCGUAGAUGGCCACAAUUAAACGCCUCCAUAAGGAGGUUUCUUCCUUACUAAACCUCCAAAACCAUUUAGUGAGAAGAUCAAUAUUCUUCUAAACGAGCCAAUCCCAAGACCACCAUAACAAAUCGGGGUGGAAGUGCAAUCCCAUUUGACGAGGUGAGCAAUUGGAUUCGUAGACCCUCCUGUCCAAACAAACUUCCUGAUCAUCUGUACCAAUCUAUUAAUAACACCGACUGGAGCUUGAGCAAGGGAAAAAAGAUAACAAGGGAGGCUAUUGAGAACUGAUUGCACCAGUGUUAGUCUACCCUCUUUGGAGAGGGACACAUUCCUCCACCUAUCGAAUUUAUAUCUGAAUCGCUCUUUAUCUGAAUCGCUCUUCAAGGUGUUCCACAUCUCUUUUCUAUUAUGACCCCCUCCCCCCCCCCCCCCCCCCCCCCCAAUAGAAAAGCCCAAAUAAUUAAAAGGAAGGCUAUCAACCGAGUACCCCAUAGAGUUACUAAAAGGAGCUAAGUCACCACUGUUAAGGUUAAUACCGAUCAGGGAGGUUUUAGAUCUAUUAAGGGAUAGACCGGCUCCCAUAAGAAAGAUAUUAUCACCUUCCACCAGUUCUCCAAGUUUCCAUCCUCCCAGGAAGAAAAAAGAAGAGUGUCGUCUGCAUACUGAAGGUGGGUUAAAUCAUCUGACAGGUUCUCAAAAUGGAAGUCUUUUAAAUUCCUUUUCUCAUUACAAUAGUGAAUAAGGCAGCUUAGAGCAUCUCCCACUAUUGUAAAAAGAAAAGGGGCAAGAGGAUCACCUUGACGAAUGUCCCUUUUAGCAAUAAUCUUUCCUCUAGGCCUGCUGUUAACAAUGAUGGAAAAAUUAGUUGUCGACAAGCAGCCCCAUAUCCACUUCCUCCAUCUCUUACCAAAGCCUUUAAGUUUCAUGGCCAUAUCAAGAAAAGACCAAUCCACCUUAUCAUAAGCUUUCUCCAGAUCAAGCUUCAAAAGAACGCAUUUUCUACCUCUUAAAGACCAUUCGUCAACAGCCUCAGAAGCAGUUAGAAUAGCAUCAAGGAUUUGCCUUCCCUCCACAAAAGCCAUUUGAGAAUCAUUAAUUAUCGAAGGAAGAACUUUUUUAAGUCUUGUUGCAAGCACCUUGGAGAUAACUUUAUACAAGGAGGUAACUAAGCUUAUGGGUCUGAAGUCAUUGACACGGGCCACCUCUUUCUUUUUGGGGAUGAGGCAAAUAUAAGUCUUAUUACAUCUUCUAUUAAUAAUUUUGUUUUUAAAAAAAUCUUGGAACACCCUUACUAGGUCGGACUUCAGAAUGUUCUACGAUUUUUUAUAAAACUCUCCAGUCAUGCCAUCAGGGCCAAGGGACUUGAGACAACUCAUCUCAAAGACAGCUUCUCUAAUUUCUUUUUCGGUAAAGGGAACCUCAAGUAAACUCGAAUCCUGUAAGCUAAGGCCUCUCCGGUUAAGACUGUCACAAAUAAACGGCGAGGAGAUCCUUGUGCCAUAUAAAUUUGAAAAGAAACUAAGGAUCUCAUCCACAAUUUCCUUCUCUGUGACAAGAGUCUUCCUUUCGAUACUAACCAAAGAAGAAAUAAUACUUUUACAUUUACGAGUCAAAACCCAUAUGUGGAAGAAGCUUGAGUUCUCCUCCCCCUCUCUAAGCCAAUGAAGCUUUGACUUCUGAAUCCACAUUUUUUGUUCUUUCACAAUCAAAUCAAGCAGAGCCACUCUACAAAUUUCUCUUUCCUUCGCAUUCUCCUCGUUGAGACAACUCGACUCUUCAAGUGAGUCAAGAGAGUUAAUCUUAUCAAUCAGCACCUGUUUUUGGGAGAAAAUGUUACCAAAAGUCUCCUUAUUCCAACUCUUUAGGAUGGCUUUCAAUCCUUUUAACUUUUCCAUGAAGGAGAAUAUAGGUCAGCCAUCAACAUCCAAACUGCCCCACCAGUUCUCGACAUUUUUUAAGAAAAGAUGAUGAUCCAGCCAAGCAUUUUCAAAUCUAAAAGGUGUGGGACCCCAGAAAUGUGCCCCUAUUUUCAAUAGAAUCGGAAAGUGAUCCGAUGUGGUACGAGGAAGUCUUUCCACACUUACUUCUCUAAAGAACUUCAUCCAAGGCUUGGAUAGAAGGAAUCUGUCAAGCUUUGAGGCAGCUGGCCUAAUCCCCGACCGGGACCAAGAGAACCUACCAUUUCGAAAGGGAAUAUCCACCAAAUCCAAAUCCUCAAUCAGGCUGUUAAAGUGAAGCAUACUUCUAGUCGGACGAGUGCCAGAGCUCUUCUCAUUUAACCAUCUGACUACAUUAAAAUCACCCCCUACACACCAGUUUUCGUUGCACAAACCAUAUAAGCUAGAAAGCUCCCUCCAGAAUUGGUCUCUAAGUCUAUAAGAGGAAGGGCCGUAAACACCUGUUAUCCAUCCAUAGAACCCAGCAUUAAACUUACAGUGAAUAGAAACAAAGAACUCCCCUUGAAUUGAGUCAUCCACCGUGACCGAGUCCUCUUUCCACAAAAUAAGAAUACCACCCGACGAUCCAUAAGCCUCUAAGGCUGCCCAGCCAACAAACCGACUACUCCAAACUGACUUCAUCAACUGUCGACCAACAAUGCUUACUUUAGUCUCUUGGAGAAUUACCACAUCUCGAUUGAAUUUCACAAGCAACUCUUUCACAACCGCUCUUUUGGGGCGAGCAUUAAGACCCCUUACAUUCCAUGAGAUAAUUAACAUAGAUCACCCUCGGAGCCCGGAGGAUUACUACCUUUUGCCGCUUGGGCUUCCCUUUCCCAACUACCUAGCAGUGCUUUAACUUCUCUAGUAAGCUUUUUGUUGCUGUUCGAGGAGGUCCCACCCUUCCUUCAUUGGAUAGGGGAAGCUCGUUGGAAUCGAGGGGUGUUGUAAGACCUCCUAUUGUUCAUACUUAUAAAAGGAAUGGUAGGAAAGUAAAUGCACAGGAAAUCAAUGAUGAGGGAAUGAUGCAGCAGAAGAUCGUGCCUAGUGGGGCCCACGGGGUAGGAAAGAGAGGGAGAGCAAUAAAUAUGCCUUUAUUGGGUUAGGGUAGCUAGGCUUUUUCUAUCAUUUUCUGUGAAAGGCUGCUGUAGCUUUUGAGGUAUUCUCCCAGCCCCCAUGUUAUGGAGCUGGGUAAGCUUUAUUGUAUUUUUCUUCUUAUUUCAUCUUGAGACUGUAUGUUAUCCUAUUUUAGCUGAUAUAUAUAUAAAUAAUCAGAGUACCGCCUCUGUUUUAGCCUCUUGGUUAGGAUUUAUUUGAUCUAGCUUGUUAGUAUCAAUUGAGGCUUGGAAUAUAAAAAACAGAAGGGUGUGGUGAUAAAACUUGAUGUUCAAAGUCAAAGGCUAUGAAACUUAUUGAAAUGAGAAACAAAGAGCACACACCGAGAGAAAAACCACGAUUGUUAGUUGUUAUUAUUUUCUAAUGAAUAAUACAAUAGGUACAAGGGAGAAUAAAUAUAAUAUACAAGGGAAUAAAAAAGGAAAAGAUUUAGGAAAUAAAGAAAAUAUUCUUAUAAUCUUUCCAUAAAUCUUCUAGGAUUCUAACAUAACUAAAUGGAGACUAGGAGUUUCGUCAGCAAACUUUUCUAUUAUCAUCCAUGGCAAUGUGAGAGUCAAAUUCAGAGCCACCAAAGAUCUUAGGCAAGAGGAUACCUUGCCUUCUUCUUUAUCACUAUGAAUAUGAUGAAUUUCUUAGGCAGUCUUACUUUGACAUCAAACCAUGAUUUUAUUAAAGGUUUCUUAGUGGGAAUGACUCUCUCCUAACUAAUCAUCUUUUGUUUGUGGACUUUAUUCACUUCCCUAAUGAUGAUGAAGUUUUUAUUGCAGAGUUGUUCCCCUUAUAACAUGUGAUUCUGGUUUUAUAUUUUUUCAGGAAAAGAUUAUGAGUGAAUUAAUGCGCUUGAGCUUAAGGUAACUAAGUUAAUUAGAAGCAUUAGUUUUUGCUCUAUUUUUUCUUCUUUGAUACAAUUAUCUAAGAAUUUUCAAGCUAUUUUCAUUAGUGAAAUGUUAAAUGAAAACAAAAUGAUGGUUUUUCAAAUUAUGUUUAUCAAGUCCAUCAGCUUAAAAUGUUGUUAUAAUGAGUUCUAAGCUAUACUUCAUAUAGUUUUAAAAACCAUAAUAACUAGUUCUAAGAUAAAAGAGGCUGUUUAUGAGAGUUUUAUAAGCGAAACUUGGAAUUUAAACAUUCUUUUUAAACAAUCUUUAUUUUCACAUCCAGAAUAUAAUUUGGGGGGGGGGGGCUUCGGAUAUAUACCAAUUUUCAAAUAAUAGAUAUGGCCACUAAGUUGGUCAUAAGGUGGGCACGAUAGACCAAAAAAAUCGAUUUGACCGACCGAUGAAGUCAUUUAGAGAACGAGAAGGGUUGGUCAGUGACGGUUAUAAAUGGUCUCUACAAAAAUAUAAAACCAAAACCACAUGUUAUAAAUGGUCUCUGGAAAGAGGGUAAGCAACACAUCGUGCAUUGUCCAAUGGAACAAACCCAAGUUUAGAUUGUAUGACAUGGACCUUGGCAUUGUAGAUAACAGAAUUUGAAAUUAAACUCUCCUUGCAACAUGGUCUUGUUGCUUUAAGCUCAAAAAAGAAUCCCUAAGGAGGAAGAUCAUCAAGGCUAAAUAUGGUUUGCAACAUUUUGAUCAAAAGCCAUCCAAGAAGUGCAAAGUUUCUUCAAGAAUCGCUUGUAGACCUUCUCAACCAAACGUGCCUCUUUUACAGCCACAUCCAUUGCUUGGUUGGAGAAGGAAAAACUACCGCUUUCUAGAAUGCCCACUGGAUUGGGGAUGGUACCCUCAGUAGAAGUUAUCCAAAACUUUAUACCAGUGCUGAGACUAAAAAAAUCCAUCAAAAAGGCUUAGAAUCGUGGAAACAGCUCUUGUAUUCUAAACAUUAGAUAGAAUCUAAAGAUGAGGAGAUUACAAGAUGGGUUUCUUUCACGCAAACCAAUAGCAUCUUACUAUAAACUCUUUGGUUUCUCAUCUCAAUCUGAGUGCCCCCACAUCAUCGGAUCUUUAUAAACAACUAUAGAAGCUUUCUUUCCUGAAAAGAAUUAUGUUCCUUUCUUAUAAAAACUAUCCAUUCUUGCCUAAACACAAUGGAAACAAAAAAUGCCCUUGGCUCUACAUUUCUCCAUUUUCGUGCUACCUUUGCAAAAGAAGCACCAAAGCACAAAACCAUGUUUCAUUCCACUAUCAAAUUUCAGCUGCAAUUUGGGGUGACCAUCUCUCUUCUUGCCCCCUCUUUGGACACUGUUGAUUGGAUCAAAAUGUUGUUCGUUGAUCACCCUUUCAAAACUAUUAAGAAGCAUCUACAGUCUAUUUUGAUCAGAGCAAUUUUAUGGAAGAUUUGAGAUCAGAUACAACAUAGUUUUUCAUGACAAAGAAAUAACUGCUGGGGAUUUUCUUGAGUUAGCUAUCUACCAUGUUUAUUAUUGGUGUAAAAGCUUACAACCUCUUCAAGUCCAUAGUUUAAAUUUCCUUGUUGCAAGUUGGAGAAAUACAUUUUAACAAACCUAUGUUUUCAUGUAUAUAUAUACACACACACACUCCUUCUUAGUGGUGCCCUAUACAAUGUUCAACGUUCAAGCUUAGAAGCAUUUGUCAGAAUGUUCAAGCUUCAUUGUCUCGUGUGCAUAGACUACGUUUUAUGAUAAACCUUUGUUGUUCUCUGACAAUUUCUUUUAGUUUACCUAUACUUUGAUUUACAAUUUAAUUGUCUAUUUAUUUAAGAUUGUUGGAGAAAAUCCUAGAAAUCUAUUAUGAACUUGAGAAGGAUUGUUGCAAGUUAAGACCAUAGGAAAGAAGUGUAAUACAUAAGGUAAAGUAAUUCUAAAUUGCCAGCUAAUAAAGUAACAAAACCUGAUUUCUCCAACAAUGGUUCUGAAGACUUCAGCAGCUUUGCACAUGACUUCAAUCCAUUGGCCAAAGACAUUUUCUCUGCUCACAGUUAGUUCCCCCUUUUCGGUAAUUUGCUCAACCAACAGUUCCUUUAAAAUAAAGAGAAUUUAAUCAACUCAUACUCAUACAAUAAAAAUAAUUACUAAUUUGAGUAUUGAGACGAGGGCAGAAACACCACUAUUUUAUCAAGAUUGCAAUCCUAUAAAAACUAAUAAAUAAUCGAAAACUAUAAUAUGUCGUAAGCAAAUACAAAAAAUAACCGACAUGGAAACAAAACGGACAUAGCAAACAUUCCAGGGUUCUACAAAUAAUACUAGAUGAGAAAUAUAACAAAAUGGAACACAGUAAUUCUUCAACUUUGUCAUCUGCUUCAUGUAAACACACAUUAAACUUAAAGCAACCAUCAUAUUCUUCAUUUCAGACAAUUACAAGAUGCAAGAAAAAAACAUCCCAACCAAAUCCACAGAUCUGAACGACACAGCAAGGAAACUACAAAAGUCCAUCAAAAACGGAUCCUGAAGAUUAGUUUUCAUUUAACUUGAAAUCGAUCAUAUCAGUAACAAAAAAAAUGAUAGAAAGAAAGGAAAAAUCGAAGGCCUACCGGAAAAUGAAAACAAUCAUGAAAUGAGAUAAACAAGAAAGAGAGAAAAUAGAUGGCUUACAGGGUGAUCCCUCUUGCUUUCGCGGUGACGAAGAUCGAAGGAAGACGAGCAGAGAAAACCUUCUGUUCUAUACACACGUAAUUAGGCCAACUUAGCCCAAGAAAAAACAUACUAUUAAGAAAAAAAAAGAUUGAUCAUUAAUUGAAUAUAAAUUAUGUUAUAUUUUAUAAAUAUUAGUAUAAUAGAUAUCCAUAAUAUCUUGUGUUCAUUGAAGUGUUAUUUACUUCUAAUUCCAAUUCCAUUACAUUGUUAUUCGUUAUUUUCCUCUGCAUUCAACAUUUUUAUCAGGUCUCUUGAACAAAGAUACAUGUACUUCAUCUAAUAGUAGCAUUCUGUGGGUUUUGUAAAACAUGAAGGGAUGUUUGGAGGAAUGAGUGAUUUAUGAUUGAGUUGGUGUUAUGAUAAUCUUAAUAUUAUAAUAAUGUAGUGUUAUCGUAUGUGUUUGAGGAAAGAAUUAUGGUAGAUAGUGUUAUAAUAGUAUGUGUUUGGGGAAAGAAUUAUGAUUGGUAGUGUUAUGAUAGUAUGCAUUUAGGGAAAAGAUUAUGAUAGUAGUAUUAUGAUCAUUUCUUUCUAAUUUAUAAUGUAGAUCCAAUACAUGAGAUUCUAUUAAAUUUAAAAAAUGUUAAAUUAAUAUCUAAAUAAAUUAUAUUUAAUUAAUAUCUCUCACAUAUCUGAUAGUUUUAAUUUAAUCAAAUUUAAUUAAAUAAAAUUAAACUAAACUAUUAAUUUAUUAAUUACUAAAUUAAAUAUCUUAAAUUUGUUUAUUUCAAAUUUGAAUCAUAUUCAAAUAUAAAUUUUUCCAUAACAUAUAGUUUUAAUGUGUAUUAUAUACGCAUUAAACUUUAACCUAUAGUUUUAAUAUGAAUCAAAUUCACAUUAAAUUAAUAUUUGAACUCAUUCAAAUAUUUCAUCUCUCAUAAAUUAAUUUUGAAUCAUAUCCAAAAUUAAAUUUAUAUAAUAAAGCAUAUCCAAAAUUAAAUUUAAAAGUUUAAUUAAAAUAUAAACUUUAUACUAUAAUGCAUCACCAUACAUUAUACUAAUUUCCAAAAUAAAUUUGAACAUUUCAAAUUACAACCAAUAUAAAAAAUCUCAUUACCCUUUACGAGUUAGGAAGGGGAUCUAAUGAACCUACAAAUUAGAAACUACAACUAUAUGAGAUUAAUUGGCUAGACUCAUUAAUCACAUUAAUCAAUGUUCAUUAACUAUGUGUAUACUCCAUUAAAUACUCACAAUUGAAUUCUUCUCACUGUAGAUAUAAUUUUGUGUCCACGGAUAUAGACUAGUAAUAGUAAGUUAGUCCUUCACGCAUGUUCAUAACACCACUUUGGUCAAAUUAUUGUUUUACCUCUAGGUUACUUAUAGUCCUUAAAUACCAGUAUUCCUUUAAUGAACAACUUGUUUGUGUCAAACCAAUAAACAUAAACCCUUAUCGUGCUAUGUAGAGCGUAGGGUCGUUUGUUAAGUCCUGGAUACACCAUUUAAGGGAAUACUCAUAUACUUACCCUAAAGUCAGGAAUGAGUGAAUUUCAUCUUGUGUGAUUAUGUUUUUAGGUUCUCAAUCGGUCUUGUCCUCAAAAUGAUAAGCAUAUUGAGUCAGCAAUUUUGCCAUUUUCACCCGUACAAGCAAUUUGGCCACUUUCAUCCGUACAAAUCAAAGGACAAUUCCUUCGAACAGGAGUUUCUAAUACACUUAGGAUUAAGACUAAGUUACCUAGGUCAUCCUAAUGAAAUAGAAACCUUACUAGUUAACGGAGUUACAUCUAGUGGUUACUAUUUUGUGGUUUGGUCCUAUGCAAACUCACUGUAUAAGAUACCCUCACUCGCACGUCACCUAUACGAACACGUUGGAUCAUUGCGUUUGUAUCAAAUACAAAGUGGGUCGUAUCUAUAGUGUUACUAAGAUAAGGUACCCAACCUUAUCCCUAUAUUAUAGAUCCUUUAAUCUGAUCUCGAACAUUGAUCCAUGUAUGUCCCUAUAUACUGUUCAAGACUCAUCAAACAACUUAAGAUAUUAGUUUGUUGGAUUUAGGUUAUUAAGACAAGGCUAAUAAUAUGAUCAAUAACGCUUAUUGAAAUAAUAAUAAUAUAACAACAUUUUAUUAAUAAAUAACGUUCAAUGAAUUAUAUUUACUAUCUACGAGUUUUAGGACAUAAAUCUCAAUAGUUUCAUUCCAUAAAUCUUACUUUUCUUGAAAUAUCGCAAAAUUAUCUCACCAAACUGCACAAACUCCCUUUAGAUCACUCGGUUCUUGAUGUUGUGCACUAGUAUGUGCAGGAACAUAGCGACCAUCUCUUCAACAUUGACAAUUUCCAUAACACUAAUUGAUAACAUGUAGAAAUACACGUUAUUAUAGAUUCUUUUAUUAGAAUAACGAGGCCAAAUUAAGAAGAAGUAUAUCAAAAUACGUAGUUUGUAUUGAAAUUGCAUAAAUACUUGGAAAUAUACUUUACAUAACUCCUGAUGUCUGCUUUUACCCCAUUUUCAGUGUCUCAACAUAGGAUUAAUAAGAAGGAAGGAACUAGUGAAUCGUAGAAGAGCUUGCGCAAGCGUUAUGUGAUCAGAACUCCAUACAAUUUCUCGACGAGAAACCAUGUUAUCACAUGAGGAAGGUUCACUAGAAGAUAACAAUGGUAGCUAAUUGGAGUUGAUAUGACUUUACAAUGCAGCAACCAGAGUUGAAAUGCUCGGAAAAAUAGAACUUUCCCACCAAAAGAUGCCUAAAAAGGACUCCACCUCCACCAUAAGGAGAAGGCCUGAAAGGGGCCAACGAGAACGCUUGAAGGAGCCAAAAUAAUAAUUAAUAUUGUAGAGAGAAGGGAAAAAAGGAACGUGAUAAGUGAAACUACCUCAAUCACGUUUUGAGAAAUCCCCUUAUUUUAGGUGAACCCCACAACAAUAAUAAGAAUAACCCCGAUUAAACAAAUAACUAACAACCUCAAGAAAGCUAAACAAAUUUUGGCUUGAAAAAGAUUGAUCAAAGAUUAAGAAGAAAGGAGAAUUUGUUCCUAACUUUAAGAUUUCAAACUCUCCACGAUCUAAUUGAUCAAGCUAAAUUGAAAGUCCUAAACAUGCAUUCUAACACAAGAAUACAAAGAAAAGCAUAAAGCUUGAGAGAUAACACUCUAUCGAAAUUUCAUUCAAAUUCAAGUUCUUCCCAAAAUGUGGAAACUACAACCCUAUUUAUACUAAUUAAAAAUGUUAUAUGAAAUGACACAACAUUUAACUCGUGCCCUUUCAACGACCCUAAUAAAUGAAAGUACAUAUCAUUUAAUAAAUAAAUAUUAAAGAUGUAAAUGAAUCUAAAAUGCAUUAAAUAUGUGAAUGAAUCUAAAAUGCAUUAAAGAUGUGAAUGAAUCUAGAAAUGCAUUGAAUAUGUGAAUGAAUAUGAAUUUCUAGAUUCAUUAUGACCAUUGGGUGCCCAAAUGACUUUUGAAGUUCCCACUCUUCAUUAAAAACCGAAAAUCUAGCUUGUAAACAAGCAUUUAAUCAUCUUGAAGUCUUUUAGCUCUAGCUUUUGUCAUAGAUGGUAAGUAUCAAGGACAUAGCUAGCGCGCACAAGGAAAAGUUUUCUCUUCCUUUGUGAGACAACUUCCAUCAUUUGUAUCCCAAAAGGUGAACAAGUGUGGGUACUAGGCGCAAAGAGGUUGUUGUCCUUAAUUGCGAAGUUCUAUACUGAAAGAAUUAAAGCUCUUAGCAGCGAAAGAUUUUACAAAAUCAUUCCUCAAAUUAAUUUGGAAAAUUCAAAAUACCAGUACAUUGACAAUAUUUAGAAUCAAAAUUCUAAAUAAAAAACUUAGCGUGCUUUUAAAUAUUAAAAGAUACAGAGAACUUACUCUUGUUGAUGUCUUUGGAUUCUACAAUCCACCGAGUUGGGACACCAUCGGUUAGAAACCUUCCUAUCCUCUGGGAUGGGAUUGGUUUUUUAGAACCAAUUGGAGUGGAAAAAGGUUUAGAAAGAAACUAUGUUUCAUAAAAGUAAAAUUAUUAGUUGAAGAAAAACUGUUUUAUUCUGCGUAUUUACAACUAUAUUUCCUUCAUGGAGUAGGAGAAUCAUGAGAUUCUAUUAAUUUAAAAAAUAUUAGAUUAAUAGAAAUUUCAAAUCAACUAAUUGAAUAAAAAUUAAUCAAUUAAUUAAAUCAUAUUUUAUUUAAUGAACAUCUCUCCAAUAUCUUAUAGUUUUAAAUUAAUUUUGAAUAAUAUUAUGCAUUUAUCUGAUAUCUUCUCGUGUUGAAUGAAAUAACGAGUUAUUUUUUGAAAAAUCAUGAAUAUUGUUAACUAAAGAACCAACAUUUCCUAAAGUGAAUGUUGUAAAUUUUAAUAAUGGUGGAUGAAAAAUUAUGAAUCUUAACCAACUAGAACAAUCUCAUUCACUAAAGUGAAUGUUGUGAAUUUAACAAUUUUAAUAGAAGUUGUGACCGCAUUAAAAGAAGAAAUAAUUAUUUUUUUUGGUUGGUCGUUAUAAUCAUCCAAAUUUCAAAAGAACAACGUGAAAUGAUGGUCAUAAAAGAAAAGUUUCACAAUGAAAAGAGGAAAAUGUGGAAGAAGAUUUUGUAUAUAUAUGAUUAAUAAUAUAUUUGACUCAUCCAAUAACACAAACUUGGAUGUGGUAGAGUUUUAAAUCUUCUAAAGAAAAAAUUAACAUAAUUAGAAAAAUAACAAGUAUGUCUUUUGUGAUUAUAUAUUAAUGUAUUGUUAUCUCUCAUUUUUCCCAUGUUCUAAGUUUUGUUUCUCUGAUUGUAAUUAUUUUGUUUAAUGAAUAAGCAUGGAUGACUAUUGACAGACAAUGCAAUUAUGUCUACAAUACUGACAAGUAAAAAAUAUUUUUCUCAAACUUACAAUACUGGAAGUAAAAGUCAAUACAAUAUCAAGUUCUACAACCUAAUUGAAAGAUUUGGAAAAGCAAAUAAGAUUUUGGAAAUUGUUGAGUUUGGCAAGAUGUGGGUUGUCCCACAUGUGAAACCACGUUCUAAUAAAGAGAUUUCUUGUAAAUUAAAAUUUGAAGUUAGCAAAAUUAAACUUGAGUAGGUGUUUUGAGAUAGCACAAGGAAAGGGGCAAAGUGAAGGAAUCAGACAACGCGUUGUGAAGAAAGGUAACGCGGUACAACAAGAUAACACGAGAAAGGAAUGUGGCAAUGAACACUUAACCAAUUAUUAGGUGACGAUCUAGGCGAGAAGGAGUCCGAUUAAUCAUCUAAACACGUGUUAAGUUUAAGUUAAGCAUAGUUUAAGAAUGACAUUAAACUAACAACAUGUGUAAUGCACUAAGUAGGAGCUGUCAAGAUUAGAAGAAGUAUAAUGUUGACUAAUCUGAUUUGAGGAGAGUAUAAAGGUUGAAGAAGGAUUAAUUCAAGUGUUUAGAUAAGAGAAAGUUUUAUCAAAUAAGUAAAAGGUGAAGCUUGGUUGUUGGACCAAGCGACGAGAGGGAAGAAUAGCUAGGCGAUAAGAAGGAGAAAAAUGGAAAAAGAAAGGUUUAGCUGAAUGAGUGGCACUUCAAAAGAAAAUCAAGCUUUUGAAAAAUGUUUUUACCACCAAAGUCACAUGUUGUUAGAUAUGAUCGUGUUGUAAUCUUAUACAUAUAAAAGAACAUGACCAAUUUGAAGUAUGUCUAUGUUUGUGUAGUUGUAUUAUUGUGGUGCUUGUAUGUAUACAAAAUGAUUAGUCUUAUUUAUGAUCAAAAGCUAGAUUUUAUGUGCACAUAAGGGUAGAGGUUGUCAUGCGCUAAGUGGUUCGCUUGAUAGAAGGAUGGUUGAAUGCAUUGAGUGGUUCGUGUUCAAGUUAAUAGCGGGAGCAACAAGUAUUGAAUAAGAGUUCGUAAUGAUAUUGAUGGUGAAGUAGUAAUCAUCACAGUGGUCCUUGUAUUGCGGAAGUUCAAGUACCAGACGUUAGGAAUAAGUAGAAGCUAAUGUGACUAUUGUAUUGUUUAACUAGUAUUGAAGCGUUAAGACGUUUUUUAAAAUAAGAAAUCUUUUAUUGUAAGCAAUUGUAUUCCACAAAACAUAUAUCUAAAUUCUUGUCACUCACUAAGUCAUUAGCUUAUGUUUUAAGUUUUUCCUUCCUAGGUUAAGUGAAGAAGUGGCAUUAAGCAAGAUAAGAGGAGGCCAUUGUUGCCUCUCCUAAGUACUUAAUGCGUCGUGUAGUAGUAGUUAGCUUAAGUUUUGUAAUGCUUUAAAUUGUAAGUUGUACGCUUGUGUUGUACCAAGUGGUUAACAAAAUAAUUAUUAAUUUUUUAUAGCAUCUAAUGUCCUACUGCAUAGCACAAACUUCUAUAGUACAAUCAUGCCUAAGGUUUAAGUUAAUUUUAAAGAAGUACCUAGGUGUUCUAGCGGUUCAUCUUGCAAAUGGAUGCUUUUCGUGUGGGGGCGUGCCACCACAUCGAUUAUUUUAUAGGAAGGUGGAUGGCUCCAAGGCUAUAAAAGAAGCCCAUGACCUGAUCCUUUGUUUACAAAUGUCUUGGUUAGAAGCACUUUGAGCUUUAAUGUGCUAACUCUAAUUAGAUUCUUUUUGUAUUCUAAACUUUGAGAGGGUAUUCUUGUAAUUGGGCUUGGGAGAGAGAAAGUUAUUCUAUGUGAUUGUAGCAAAUUUUCACAUAGAGGAUUUCACUUGGUUUUUCUUCAAGUUGGGAGUUUCCUACGCAAAUUUUUGUGUUAAUUUCCAGUUUUUAUUGCUUUCUUAAUUUUUAUGUUAUUGUUCUACUUAUUACUACUAUAGAAUUGGAAGGUUUUGUCGCAACACUAAUCAUAAACUGAGUCCCACUCAAGCCAAUGAGAAAAACCUCAUUGUUCAAGUCUCAAAUUCACCAUUUAAGAGAAAUACUCAUUUAGUAUUUAUCCUAUGUGGGAAUAAGUGAAUUUCAUCUCAUCUGAAAAAUAUGUCCCAACUCCCUAUUUGAUUGAGUUCUCAAAAUGAGAGGUUUAUUGAAUCAACUAAUAGGGUCAUUUUCACUUUGGCAAGUUAAAAAACGAACUCACACAGAUAGAAGUUCAUAACCCACUCAAGAUUAAGAUCAAGAUACAUAUACUCCUCCUAUAAAAUAUUAUUCUUUUCGAUUGACAAAGUUAUAAAGAGAUAUCAAACAUUUUGUGAUCUAGUCUUAUACAAACUCAUCAUAUAAGAUACCCCCAUUUAUAUGAAUUUAGAUUAGAUUGUGAUAGUUUAAUCGCUUGGGGUAUAGAUUGUUCAAACCCGCUUAUACUGUAUUCAAGAUCUAUAAUUGUCAAGAAUGUAUGACCUCUUGGGAUAUAGGUUGUUCAAACAUACUAUACAUGCUUUUGGGUGUCAAUUAAUUUCUUUUAAUUGUUUUAAUAUGAUAAUAAUCCAUUUGUUAAAUGAUUAUUGAGCUUGAAUAAUGUUUUAGAAGUAAAUACAUACACUUUCAAUUAAUUAAAGUAUUAGUACUUAAAAAGAUAUUAGCGGUGGAAAGUGCUCCUAUAAAUUAAUUGUAACUCAUUUGAUUAAAAUUUGCAAUUGUUUUAAUCACUUAACCCACUUGGAACGUUAUUCCAAUAGUUUGCCUUCACUCAGACCAUUAAGAAGAAUUUUCCUCUAGAAAAAACCUUCAAUCAAAUUUAGAAGCAAUCUAGAAAGGAGAAAAACAACGACUCUCACAAUCCCUCAAAUUACUCAACAAAAUUUAUAUUAUAAAUUAAAUCACGUUCUAUGUCAUUUACAGGAACAUAUAGAUUGUCCAUGAAAUUAGUUGAGAUGUGCAUAAUUGAUCUAGACAUUUGAUAAUAUUACAGAAAAAAAAAAAAACAUCUAGACUAUUUUUAUUAUUGUAUUUAUAUUGUCCGAGUCAUAUAUGAAAUAAAUUUACAGUUACUUAUCCACUAAAAGUUAAAGCAAUAUAUUUCAUUCACAUGUCUCACAGUACACAAAUUUUGAAUUUUGAAUUUUUCUUUACCAAGAAGCACAGAAGCAUUAACUUUAUUGAUCAAUAAGACAUGUUGCAACAACUAAAGAUAUAUCAUAGAUGCUAUCAACAAACAAAUAAAAGAGCCUUUUUUGUAUAACAAUGAUUGAUGAUCUUCAUCGGGGCUAUCCUUCUUGUUGAUUUGAAAAUUGUAUAUUCCUUCCUUGUUGUUCCUGUCAAAUUAACCAAGUAAACUUGAUUAAAAUGUAAGUUGAAAGUCAUGAAUACAUUUGAGUAAUUUAUCAACAUUUGAAGCUCAUCAUAAUGUAGUUGAUAGUAAAGUAUAUAACUUAACCUAAAAGUAUGAAGGUGGAGGAGGAGAUGACUUUUACAUAUAUUUUGUUGGUGCUGGAGAGUAGUAUACUGGUGGAGGAAGAUAGUAAUGGACUAGAGGUGGAGGAUAUUUAUAGAUAGAGGGUGGAGGAGAAGGGUACACUAGUGGUAGGGGAGAUUUAUAAACCGAAGGUGGAGGAGAGGGGUAAACUAGUGGUGGAGGAGAUUUAUAUAUGGGAGGAGGAGGAGAGGGGUACACUAGUAGUGGAGGAGAUUUGUAGACCAGGGGUGAAAGAGAGGGAUAGACAAGUGGUGGAGGAGGAGAGUAGUACGCAGGAGGACGAAGAGAGAUAAAUAAGCGACAAUGGAGAUUUAUAAAUGAGAUGGAUAAACGUAUGGUGGAGGUGAGUAGUAAAUAGAUAGUGAAGGAGAGUAGUAAACAGAUGAUGGAGGAAAGGGGUAGAUGGGCAGUGGAGGAGAGUUGUAAACAGACAGUAGAGGCAAGGGGUAAAUAGGUGGUGGAGGAGAUUUAUAAGUAUAAUUGAAGGUGGAGGAGAUGAGUAAUCUGGGGGAGAAGGAGGAGGAGUACAUUGGCGGUGGAGGAGAUUAAUAAACAGGAGGUGGAGGAGAUGAGUAGACUGGUGGAGGAGGAGAGUGGUACACCAGAGGUGGAGGAGAGGAAUAAAUAGGUAGUGGAGGAGAUUUAUAAACAGGAGGUGGAGGAGAUGAGUAGACUAGUGGAGGGGGAAAGUGGCACAUCAGAGGAGGUGGAGGAGGGGAAUAAACAGGUGGUGGAGGAGAUUUAUAAAUAGGAGGUGGAGGAGAUGAGUAGACUGGUGGAGGAGGAGAGUGAUCAUGCACCGGAGGUGGAGGAGAGGAAUAAAUAGGUGGUGGAGGAGAUUUAUAAACAGGAGGUGGAGGAGAUGAGUAGACUGGUGGAGGAGGAGAGUGAUCAUGCACCGGAGGUGGAGGAGAGGAAUAAAUAGGUGGUGGAGGAGAUUUAUAAACAGGAGGUGGAGGAGAUGAGUAGACUGGUGGAGGAGGAGAGUGAUCAUGCACCGGAGGUGGAGGAGAGGAAUAAAUAGGUGGUGGAGGAGAUUUAUAAACAGGAGGUGGAGGAGAUGAGUAGACUGGUGGAAGAGGAGAGUGGUACACCGGAGGUGGAGGAGAGAAAUAAACAGGUGGUGGAGGAGAUUUAUAAACAGGAGGUGGAGGAGAUGAGUAGAUUGGUGGAGGAGGAGUGUGAUACACAGGAGGUGAAGGAGAGGAAUAAACAGGUGGUGGAGGAGAUUUAUAGACAGGGGGUGGUGGGGAGGGGUAGGUUGGUGGUGGAGGAGAUUUAUAAACCGAAUAUGGAGGAUAUGGAUAAACUGGUGGUGGAGAAAAUUUAUAUACAGGUGGAGGAGAAGAUGGAUAUAGUAGUGGU